GUGCAGCAGUCGCGAAUACUUUACAAUGUGCGAAAGCACGAUAAGGGAACUCUGAGUGCCUCCUAAGGAGGCUGUUCAGGUGUCUAAAAAGCACCUGGAGUAAGGGCUGGGUAAGACCGGUGCCAGCCGCCGCGGUAACACCGGCAGCCCAGGUGGUAGCCACUUUUAUUGGGUCUAAAGCGUCCGUAGCCGGUUGAGUAAGUUCCUUGGGAAAUUUGGCUGCUCAACAGUCAAGCUUCCAGGGAAUACUGCUCGACUUGGGACUGGGAGAGGUCAGAGGUACUCCAGGGGUAGGGGUGAAAAUCCAUUAAUCCCUGGGGGACCACCGGUAGCGAAGGCGUCUGACCAGACCAGGUCCGACGGUGAGGGACGAAGGCUAGGGUCGCGAACCGGAUUAGAUA
RNAcentral lists this ribosomal RNA (401 nucleotides) under uncultured microorganism. RNAcentral's name for it is "bacterial SSU rRNA". It matches the Rfam family "Archaeal small subunit ribosomal RNA", at positions 330 to 735 of the family's 1478-position model. The record is from RNAcentral.